CCUCCAACCCCUCCGGGGCUGAAAUGGAGCCAUCAAGGACCACGGCCACGACUCCCUCCACCCUGCCAGCUGCCGCUGGCCGUGUGACCUUGGUGAAGGGACCUCCAGUCCCUGAGCCGCCAGGUGCCAAAUUAUCAACCUGGCGGUUCUGGCGACCCCCGCCAGGCCCUCCUUCUCGCCUCACCACAGCGGAUGGGCCACAGUGAAGCGCCGCUGCAGGCGGAUACUCUGGUUCACCAGGAGCUUCCGGAAGAGCCCGGGGGAGCCGCGAGGGGAGCCCCGGGGAGAGCCGGGCCCGGGGGCCGGGGCGGGCGCGGGGGGUCCCUGCAUCGCCAAGACCGCAUGGAGGCUGCACCCAGCGCGGGCUGCGCGGGACCUUUUCUGGACAGCCGCGGGGGCGGGGCCCGGCGGGGAGGGGGCAGAGGGCGCACUUGGCCCCGCCUCGCCGCGGGACCUCUCCUUGAUGCCCCCACCGGGACCAAUGGGGGAAACUGAGGCACUGAGCUGGACGCGACUCUCUGCUCCCUCCCUCUGGGGGUGGCCCCGUGGGUCCCAGAACCCGGAUCUUACGCCACUUCUCUCUGCCUAAAUGUCCCUAAUUAGAGCAGCUUCUGGGGUUGAUAACUUGGCUGAGAAGAGUGAAAUGCGGAAGUCAGUAAGGGAAGCGUCCCCCUUUGUGAGAGGGUCACAGAGGCACGGAGUUUACCGAGGGGCUGCCCGCGUCUCACACAGGGCUUCCAGUGCCCCUCUGCCCACUUCCCAUAUGGAGACAAUGAGGCCUGGAGCCACUCGGCGCUGCCCGGAAACUACAGACCCUUAACCCUUUGCCAGGUGGAGAAACUGAGGCUUGGAGGGAGGUAGUAACAGGCACAAGGCUUUGCUGCAGGGCAGCGGGGUUCAAACCCAGCUCCCCCUCUCUGAGUCCCCCUCCACGAGGCCCCGCAUGACCCCCACCCACUCUGACAUUCCCCAGGCCCCGUCUCUGGAUCCUUUCCUCUCUUUUGCUGUUCCUGCUAGACAAACAUCCGCACUCCACUCUCGCCAGGUCUUCCGUCUGUGAAGCAUCAACUGCCUUUUCCCUGCCCCAGGAGGGACCCCAGGGGGCCUGGAAAGGGAGGCGUGUGUCUGGGGGUUUCCAGGGGUCUGUAGCAGGUGCUCUAUCCUCUGAAUGCUGGCAUUGGGAUGGCCCUGCCCCAUUCCAUAGGAAAGGAAACCAAGUCUCAGGGUAUCGCACUCGGAGGCAGGACCUCGAAUGCCCAUGUUUUAGGCAGAGGCAGCUCUAAAGGCAUCUGUGUCCCUGCUGUGGGAUGACAUCCCCUCCCCCGCCUGGGCUUUGCCCCAGGGGACUUCAUGGGUUUUGGGGUCCUUAGACAAACGGCACCCCCAUUUCUGGCACUCCUAGGGGAAUGUGAGAUACAGUGGGGGUGAUUAGAGCUUCAGCGGGGACACCUGAGGUGCUACAGGCAGGAGAACUCUGACUCUCUCCUGACUCCCAGCCAUCGUGUUGUCCCCAUUGUACAGGUGAGAAAACGGAGGCUCAGAGAAGUAGGGUCCCGCUGGGGCUCAGGAGUGCAGAGAGUCUCAAGGACCUGGCUGGGAACCCCCUCCUGCUCCCAUGGCCCUGCAACCGGACACCUGGUGGGAACCAGACUUGCUGUCCCAAAGACAAAAAUACCAUCUGUAGCUACUGUGGCUGGACCUAAUUAUAGCCGGUCCCCAGGGGAUAGAGGCCGCCAGGAUCAGCCUGGUGGAGGCACUGGGGACAGGGUCAGGGGAGCCUUGAUAUCACCUCGGCCCCGUGGGAGGGGCUUGGAAUUGCCUGGUGUCCCCAAGGAGAAACUGAGGCACGGGGAGACCCAGUCCCUCCCCAGAAGUCACAGACAUGAAAUGGAGAGUUAAGACGAAACGCAUCGACACAAACUGCUUCCUACUAGCCUGGAGCUGAGCCAAGGGCUGUGCACGUAAAAGUCAUUUGAUUUUCAGAGCAAACUCUACAAAAAGUGGGGACUAUCGUGCUCAUUUUGCCGAUGGGGAAAUUGAGGCACAGAGAGGCGGUGUUCACUUGUCUGGGGGAGUGGUAGGGCCAGGGUCACUCAAGCCGAGGCAGGAGGGCUCCCUAGCUUGUGCCCUCUCCCACUUAAUGCUUAACUGGCUCCAGCCCCUCUGGAGUCCCAGAAGCUACUCUGACAUUCAUGUUUGAUCAGAAGUUUUAACAGUUUAAUGGUUUGAAACAUUAAUAGAUUCAACUUUAAAUAUUUUAUUAACAGUUUUAACAGUAAUGCUCUAUUAAUAGCUUUUUGGAUGGAGAAACUGAAGCCUGGCCGGCUUGACUGCGGGAGGCCCCGAACCCAGCCGGGUAAAGAGCUGAGGCUGAAGGAGAGGUGGAAGUGAGGACUCCCACCUUGACUUUGUCCCUGUGUGCUGCAUGACCUGAGGAAGUGCCCGGCACUCUAGUGCCCUUAACGUAUCACUGGAAUCCACCCCCCACCCCCUCACCCCCCCUUUGAGCAUUCCUUCCCUGGGCAGACACUUUUUUCCUCUGCCACCAGGUGGCCCCAGUGAGAUGGGUGCUGUUGUGCCCAUUUUACAGACAAGUAAACUGAGGUCUGGAGAGGAGCCAUGACUUGCCGAAGUCCCCACGGAGAGUCUAGACAAAGGGAGGAGGGUGGGGGCUGAGUCCACUUAUAGAUGCUCACAUGGGGCAGAUCUCACCCUCCUCUGCUCCAGACCCUCUCCAUGGCUCCCCGUUGCCCUUCCCCCACCCCUCUGAAUGCCUUGUAUGGUCUGAACCUUUUGAGGUCUGAGCCUCCUUCACCCCCCUCCUUCCUCUUGGCUCCCUCUGCUCCAGCCUCUUCCCCCCUCCUUACUUUUCCUUGAACCAACCAGGUUCAUUCCCACCCCAUGCCUGUGCCCAAAUGCUUUUCUCCGGCUGACUGUUCGUGUGUCAGGUCAUAACUGGAGCACGACCCCCUCCAGGAAGCCCUCCCUAACUAGAUGGGCAAAUAUCCUCUGAGCCUCCUUCUCUCAUAGGUACAGUUUCACAUUUCCUGCCAUGAUUAUUUGAUCUGGAUCUGCCUCGCCCACUAGACCCUCAAAGGCAGGAAGGACAUGCCUUUGCUCACAGUGUGCCCUCGGUGUGUGGCACUCAGUAUGUAAAUGAAUAAGAGAGGCUCCCCUCCCACCCUCCGGCCACAGUGAUCUGUGUUCAGCUCUUCACAGAGCUGUUCUGGUCCUCUUUGACUCUGAGGCUCGGCACAUUCUAUUCAUUCUGCUUGGCAUAUCCUUCCCUUCAUUCUCGCUGGCUAAAUUCUCUUCAUCCUUCAGUUUAAGCUUAGAUGCCACCUGUUCCAAACCAUCUUUUCUCACCCCCUGCCUGCCCCGUGCUGGAUCAGAAGCCUCCUCUGAGCUCCCCUGGCAACCUGACCUCUCCCCAUUGCAACACAGGUCACUCUGUGCUACUUCCCCCUGGUGUGAGUAUCUCUGCCAUCAGCCUGUCAGCACCUGUUUACCCACGGCUGAGUCUCCAGUACAUAGUACUGGAGCCUGGCACAUAGUAGGUGCUUAAUAAACGCUUGCUGAACCAGA
Felis catus (domestic cat) is the source of this 3585-nucleotide long non-coding RNA. RefSeq lists it as uncharacterized. The transcript has 2 exons. The record is from RefSeq and is a predicted model, not a curated record. NCBI's taxonomy places the organism in Eukaryota, Metazoa, Chordata, Mammalia, Carnivora, Felidae.